Magnolia sinica is the source of this 1939-nucleotide long non-coding RNA. RefSeq lists it as uncharacterized. The record is from RefSeq and is a predicted model, not a curated record. NCBI's taxonomy places the organism in Eukaryota, Viridiplantae, Streptophyta, Magnoliopsida, Magnoliales, Magnoliaceae. The transcript has 4 exons.
UUGUGGUUCUUCUAGCAUUUUAUUUUCCUCAAGCCAACAAAUCAAUAGUACACUUGCCGCGGCUGCUGCAGUCAUGACAAUUAGGUCAAAUCGGAAUCUGAAUCCGACAUGUUUAAGGUGGAGGGGGAGAUACCUCUCUGCUGGAGCUGGAAGGGAGAGAGAGAGAGAGAGAGAGGGAGGGAGGGAGACGCUGCUAUAUAGAGCUCUUGGCCAGCUACCGGCUUCAUUACUUUCGUCAGAGCAUCAAGGCCACCGACCGGCUGGUGGUUCCUUAAAUGUCUGCCUCAGUUUCUUCGGAAGAGCAUCAAGAGCCUUCAUUGCAUCUCUGACCCGGUAGGUCAUCCUUCAAUGCGUGCAGCUUCGUUUCCCCAAACACCACCUGUAAGUAACUUACAGGUCGACAAUACCUAGGGAAACAAUUUGAAGGACGAUGGCCUUGACACUGUUUCCAAUCAUGUGGUCUACCCAAACACAAGAAACUUUUUACCUGGUAAAGAUUUUACCGCUACCUGAACAUGUCCAGAUAAAACAAUUUACCUGUGGAAAUGUUUACCUGUAACAUAAGGGGGAUUUUUACCUGCAUCUGAAUGACCCCUUAAUGUGUCCAUUGAAAUUCAUGCUUUGAUAUUUUGAUCGAUGAAAAGUAAAAGAAUCAAGCUUUGUUAUUUGCAGAACAUUUAUACAGCUUUGUUGUCCUUUUAUGUAUUAAAAUGGAUGCAUCUUUUCAUAUUUCGUACUUGAAUUAUAGAGAAAGUAUAUGAUCCUCAACCUGAGGAUAUGCACGGUUUGCACGACUAGAGUCAUAGUUUGGAGAUCCAGACUGUCGAUUUGAUGAACCUGUUUGAUGUACGAUGCCCCAUUAAUCUAUUGAUGGGGGCAAUCUUAACCCUUUGAGUUGGUCACUAGAACCUAUGUAUAUAAGAAAAGAAACACAUCAAUGGUCCACAUUCACUGAAUAACUGCCAAAGAUUGGAUGGCCCGGACCUUCCAACUUGGGAGCUUUCUGAAGCAUGGUCCAUCCACAAUGGGGCACUUUAGAUCAAGGUCUGACCUGUACAAACUAAAAAUGCAAGAUUGCUUACUUCCUCUGGGUAAAUAAUGUACCUUUUCAUAUCAUCAUAUGACACAUUGGAUUUCUAAUGCGGUCCCGGCAGGUCCCCAGGCGCACAAGUUUUGAUCGACAACAACCCACGGUAUGUUAUUGGAUGUGGAUGUGCGGAAGUCGGUUUUAGAGUUCUACUCUAAAAGAUGGUUCGGAUGGGUGGGCACACAGGAUCCGAUGGUCUACAUGAUCUUGGGACCUUUGCAAAGCUGAAGAUGUAACGUGAACAUCCAGUGAUCUGCCUAACUAUUACACAGAGAGAUAAAAACAGGGAAACUAGUGUGGGCCCCAUGGGCCAAUGUCUAAUGUACUCUUCGACUACUACUCCCAUCCUUGGUGCAAGACUGGCUCUGUGACCCUGCCCCCUCUGGCGACCAAAGUUCAUAACUGGCAAGAAGUAGAACAGCAGUCUCAUGGACGGUAUCAUAGAUCCCCAAAAUGGGUUCUUCUGAAGCUGGUUAUCCAUGCAAGAAUGAUUGCUACACAUGCAAAUGAGAGGUGGGAGUCUGAAAUAUUGACUGCUGCUUCUUGAAAGGAAAUGGAUUGACAAUGGUCCCAAGUAAGCUUUCAGAUGUGUUAUUUUCCAGCGAGGAAGACCUCAGAUCAUUCAAGAUUGGUCACAAUGAUAGUUCAAAACUUGACUUGUGACCUUUCCACUUUGGUAGAUAUAGUGGAAAUUGACACCUGCUGCUGCUUCACCAUCACUUUUUUAAUGUCUUUGAUUUUUCAGGGAGAUGCAUUGUAAUCUUUUAAUGUUAAUAUUAGUUGAAGAAAAAAAAAAAAUCAAGAGAUGAGUAGCUACAAAAGGUGUGUAUGAAAAUCAUUAGGUUCCCGUCA